GUUACGUUCGCACGUUCCGCUUCUCCGCAGCCUGGGGUUCACCGGUUUGGAUCCCCGGUGCGGACAUGACGCCUCUGGGCACGCCAUGCUGUGAUGACCAAUACUCGCCCUGAAGACGUCCCAGAGCGGGGCUGAAGAAGGCUCCGCCGAAACUUGCUGCCGAUGCCCGGCCUGGCUUGAAGAGGUGAUUAGAGUUGCCGCCUGUAAAGCAGUUAAAGGACACCAUAAAAAUUCAGGGUGAAGCCAGAUGGGAGAGCUGGGCUACAAGGGGGGCAGCCCCCGCAGCUGAGCGUGCUCAGUGAAGAUUCCUGGAGCAAGUGGUCACUCCAAUAAAGUUUCUGAUUCUGUCCAGAAAUCCUCAACUCACAUAGUAAGAAGUGGAUUGAAGGACAAUUUGAACACAGUUUUCUACAUAAUCAAAAAGCAUAUAAUUGAAGAUUGAACUUGAGCUAUAGCUUAAUGUGUUGUUU
Molecule: long non-coding RNA, 470 nt
Filed under: Equus asinus (donkey)
Lineage: Eukaryota; Metazoa; Chordata; Mammalia; Perissodactyla; Equidae
Description: lncRNA (ENSEASG00005033456.1)
Source: RNAcentral